RNAcentral lists this non-coding RNA (637 nucleotides) under Pan troglodytes (chimpanzee). The record is from RNAcentral. Lineage: Eukaryota; Metazoa; Chordata; Mammalia; Primates; Hominidae.
CGUCCCACCCCUAUCGAGGCAGUCACACCUUAAAAAAAAAAAAGGAGGGGUUAUUCCUGCUUUUGCCGUGCUGUGAUCCAGGGCAGAGUUUCUUGUCAACCAGUAAAACAUCCAGUAACACAGCCAAUGGAAAUAAAUGAAUGGGUCUCUGUUUAUAGUGAAGAUUCUUUCGUUCUCCAGCUCCAGGCUUCAUACGGUAAAACUCUCUGGGAAGGAAAGGAACUCAGAGUCCCAUGCAGAAAAUUGUUCAGCUGGAGGGGUAUCAGAAAGAUGGAUUUCCAAAGCCAACUGUUUCCUGUAGUGUGUGGAUCUCUGCAAGCAGAGCCUCAUCUUUCAAUUUCAGCUACAUGAAAGAGGAAGAAAGGGAAAGAUAUAUGUCAUACGUGAUAUACUGUAUGUGGCUUUGAAGACCCCUCUUUUGUGGGGCUACGGCUAAAGAACGUAGUUCCCUGGGAUGGAAUUGGCUCUUCCUAUUUCCCUACUUCAUGAAAACUCCAGUAGAAGACCUUAGAACCUUGUCCUGGUUACAUGGAUAUGUUUACUUUGUGAAAAUUCAUCAAGCACUAUGCACGGUCAUGAUUUGUACAUUUUUUUGUAAGAUAACUUCAUUAAAAUUUACUUUUUUUAUUUUUAAAAA